GACGAACGCUGGCGGCGUGCCUAAUACAUGCAAGUCGAGCGAAGUUUUUCCGGUGCUUGCACUAGAAAAACUUAGCGGCGAACGGGUGAGUAACACGUAAAGAACCUGCCUCAUAGACUGGGACAACUAUUGGAAACGAUAGCUAAUACCGGAUAACAGCAUUAACUGCAUGGUUGAUGUUUAAAAGUUGGUUUUGCUAACACUAUGAGAUGGCUUUGCGGUGCAUUAGCUAGUUGGUGGGGUAAAGGCCUACCAAGGCGACGAUGCAUAGCCGACCUGAGAGGGUGAUCGGCCACACUGGGACUGAGACACGGCCCAGACUCCUACGGGAGGCAGCAGUAGGGAAUCUUCCGCAAAGGGCGAAAGCCUGACGGAGCAACGCCGCGUGAGUGAAGAAGGAUUUCGGUUCGUAAAGCUCUGUUGUUAGGGAAGAAUGAUUGUGUAGUAACUAUACACAGUAGAGACGGUACCUAACCAGAAAGCCACGGCUAACUACGUG
This 499-nucleotide ribosomal RNA is filed under the name uncultured bacterium. Its description in RNAcentral is "partial 16S ribosomal RNA". It matches the Rfam family "Bacterial small subunit ribosomal RNA", at positions 28 to 507 of the family's 1533-position model. The record is from RNAcentral.